This 462-nucleotide ribosomal RNA is filed under the name uncultured bacterium. Its description in RNAcentral is "partial 16S ribosomal RNA". It matches the Rfam family "Bacterial small subunit ribosomal RNA", at positions 28 to 507 of the family's 1533-position model. The record is from RNAcentral.
GACGAACGCUGGCGGCGUGCUUAACACAUGCAAGUCGAGCGGAAAGGCCCUUCGGGGUACUCGAGCGGCGAACGGGUGAGUAACACGUGAGUAACCUGCCCUAGGCUUUGGGAUAACCCCGGGAAACCGGGGCUAAUACCGGAUAUGACCUGGUGCCGCAUGGUGUUGGGUGGAAAGUUUUUUCGGCCUGGGAUGGGCUCGCGGCCUAUCAGCUUGUUGGUGGGGUGAUGGCCUACCAAGGCGAUGACGGGUAGCCGGCCUGAGAGGGCGACCGGCCACACUGGGACUGAGACACGGCCCAGACUCCUACGGGAGGCAGCAGUGGGGAAUAUUGUACAAUGGGCGGAAGCCUGAUGCAGCGACGCCGUGUGAGGGAUGAAGGCCUUCGGGUUGUAAACCUCUUUCAGCAGGGACGAAGCGUGAGUGACGGUACCUGCAGAAGAAGCGCCGGCCAACUACGUG